CCUACGGGAGGCAGCAGUGGGGAAUAUUGGACAAUGGGGGCAACCCUGAUCCAGCCAUGCCGCGUGUGUGAAGAAGGCCCUCGGGUUGUAAAGCACUUUCAGUGAGGAAGAACGCCUGGUGGUUAAUACCCAUCAGGAAAGACAUCACUCACAGAAGAAGCACCGGCUAACUCCGUGCCAGCAGCCGCGGUAAUACGGAGGGUGCGAGCGUUAAUCGGAAUUACUGGGCGUAAAGCGCGCGUAGGUGGCUUGAUAAGCCGGUUGUGAAAGCCCCGGGCUCAACCUGGGAACGGCAUCCGGAACUGUCAAGGUAGAGUGCAGGAGAGGAAGGUAGAAUUCCCGGUGUAGCGGUGAAAUGCGUAGAGAUCGGGAGGAAUACCAGUGGCGAAGGCGGCCUUCUGGACUGACACUGACACUGAGGUGCGAAAGCGUGGGUAGCAAACAGGAUUAGAUACCCCAGUAGUC
Molecule: ribosomal RNA, 465 nt
Filed under: Vreelandella stevensii
Lineage: Bacteria; Pseudomonadati; Pseudomonadota; Gammaproteobacteria; Oceanospirillales; Halomonadaceae
Description: partial 16S ribosomal RNA
Rfam family: Bacterial small subunit ribosomal RNA
Source: RNAcentral